Molecule: ribosomal RNA, 948 nt
Filed under: Trichinella pseudospiralis
Lineage: Eukaryota; Metazoa; Nematoda; Enoplea; Trichinellida; Trichinellidae
Description: 16S ribosomal RNA
Rfam family: Archaeal large subunit ribosomal RNA (bases 581-857)
Source: RNAcentral
UAAGAACUCAAACAACUUUCAACAACUUCCUUUUGUAUAAGGAGUAACUAAAAAUCUAGAUACAAACCUAUAAUAGAAAGAUAGUAAACUACAAGUACUUAAAAUUUACGUGAAAUUUAACACCAAAAUACUUGAAGAGACACUCCACACACUAUCUGAUAACUAUUUCAAAACAAAUUUAGUACAAGCUAAAUAAUAUACAACAACACCUCAGCUAACAGGCUCAGAAUCAACCAACACAACAGUUCGUAAUUGACUAGCCCACUACUCACCAGUAACCACCACAGAUCACUCAAAACUAAAGACUGAUAAACUAUAGUUACAUCAGUAAGAACAACAAAAUUUGUAUGUUAAAACUCGGCAACUAGUCUUCUACUGUUUAAUAAAAACAUUGUAACACAGAUGUGUUAUAACCUCCUGCCCAAUGAAAAUAUUUGAAUGGCCGCGGUAAUUUGACCGUGCAAAGGUAGCAUAAUAAAUUGUUUAAUAAAUUUAAACUAGAAUGAAAGGAAUAAAGAAGGAUUACUAUUAACAUACAAUCAACAGAAACUAUAAUUAAGGUGAGAAUUCCUUAUAACAACUUUAAAACGAGAAGACCCUAGAAACUAAUCAUCACAACUUUUUUUGGGAUAAAACUUUAAAACAAAAGAACCACCACCCUCUUAAAUAGAACAGUUACUCUAGGGAUAACAGCACAAUAAAAGCUAAGAGAACUCAUCUACCCUUUAGAUUGUGACCUCGAUGUUGAAUCAAGGAUUAUUAGUCGCAGAAGACUAACAGGUUUCGUCUGUUCGACGAUUCAAAAAUACGUGAUUUGAGUUUAAACCGUCGCAAGACAGGUUGGAUUCUCUUUAAAGCUGUACCACAUAAUUAUUACUAGUACGAAAGGAACGUAAUACCUAACAAUCAUUAUGAAAAAAUUCACAACAAAAUUAAGCAUAAACUUCA